This 253-nucleotide ribosomal RNA is filed under the name uncultured bacterium. RNAcentral's name for it is "partial 16S ribosomal RNA". It matches the Rfam family "Bacterial small subunit ribosomal RNA", at positions 524 to 776 of the family's 1533-position model. The record is from RNAcentral.
UACGUAGGGUCCGAGCGUUGUCCGGAAUUACUGGGCGUAAAGCGCACGUAGGUGGCGACGUAAGUCGGGUGUGAAAGCCCCGGGCUCAACCUGGGAAUUGCAUUCGAGACUGCAUUGCUGGAGUACGGAAGAGGAGGGCGGAAUUCCCGGUGUAGCGGUGAAAUGCGUAGAUAUCGGGAGGAACAUCAGUGGCGAAGGCGGCCCUCUGGUCCAGUACUGACACUCAAGUGCGAAAGCGUGGGGAGCAAACAGG